Molecule: ribosomal RNA, 253 nt
Filed under: uncultured bacterium
Lineage: Bacteria
Description: partial 16S ribosomal RNA
Rfam family: Bacterial small subunit ribosomal RNA
Source: RNAcentral
UACGGAGGAUCCAAGCGUUAUCCGGAUUUAUUGGGUUUAAAGGGUGCGUAGGCGGCCUAUUAAGUCAGGGGUGAAAGACGGUAGCUUAACUAUCGCAGUGCCUUUGAUACUGAUGGGCUUGAAUGUAGUUGAGGUAGGCGGAAUGUGACAAGUAGCGGUGAAAUGCAUAGAUAUGUCACAGAACACCAAUUGCGAAGGCAGCUUACUAAAGUAUGAUUGACGCUGAGGCACGAAAGCGUGGGGAUCAAACAGG